AGGGUUUGAUCCUGGCUCAGAACGAACGUUGGCGGCGUGGAUUAGGCAUGCAAGUCGAACGAAUCUCACCGGUGUAGCAAUACAUUGGUGGGGGAAGUGGCGAAAGGGGCAGUAAAGCGUGGGUAACCUACCCCGGGGAUGGGCAUAGCCGUUCUAACGAGCGGGUAAUUCCCAGCGAUCCGGCGAGGGGGCAUCUUCUUGCCGGGAAAUGAGUUUCGCCUCGGGAGGGACUCACGUGCUAUUAGCUGGUUGGCGGGGUAACGGCCCACCAAGGCAAAGAUGGCUAGCGGGUGUGAGAGCACGACCCGCGCCACUGGCACUGAGACACUGGCCAGACACCUACGGGUGGCUGCAGUCGAGGAUCUUCGUCAAUGGGCGCAAGCCUGAACGAGCGACGCCGCGUGUGCGAUGAAGGCCUUCGGGUUGUAAAGCACUGUCGAGGGGGAUCAAGGGCAACUUGAGUGAUCCCUGGAGGAAGCACGGGCUAAGUUCGUGCCAGCAGCCGCGGUAAGACGAACCGUGCGAACGUUGUUCGGAAUCACUGGGCUUAAAGGGCGCGUAGGCGGCUCGCGAGGUCGGGGGUGAAAUCCCACGGCUCAACCGUGGAAGGGCCUUCGAUACCGGCGGGCUAGAGGAAGGUAGGGGUGCGCGGAACUUCUGGUGGAGCGGUGAAAUGCGUUGAUAUCAGAAGGAACGCCGGCGGCGAAAGCGGCGCACUGGACCUUUACUGACGCUGAGGCGCGAAAGCUAGGGGAGCAAACGGGAUUAGAUACCCCGGUAGUCCUAGCCCUAAACGAUGGGUACUAGGUCGUGGGCCAGUCAUGGGCUCACAGCCGAAGCCAAAGUGUUAAGUACCCCGCCUGGGGAGUAUGGUCGCAAGGCUGAAACUCAAAGGAAUUGACGGGGGCUCACACAAGCGGUGGAGCAUGUGGCUUAAUUCGAGGCUACGCGAAGAACCUUAUCCUAGGCUUGACAUGUGCGAAAGCGCUGGGGAGUAGGCGCGCGAAAGCAUUGCCCAACGGUAUCCAGUCCGGAACCCAGUACAGGUGCUGCAUGGCUGUCGUCAGCUCGUGUCGUGAGAUGUCGGGUUAAGUCCCAUAACGAGCGAAACCCUUGUCUCUAGUUGCCAUCAUUCAGUUGGGCACUCUAGAGAGACUGCCGGUGUCAAACCGGAGGAAGGCGGGGAUGACGUCAAGUCCUCAUGGCCUUUAUGCCUAGGGCUGCACACGUGCUACAAUGGCGUGAACAAAGGGACGCAAGUCCGCGAGGAGGAGCCAAUCCCAAAAAAACACGCCUCAGUUCAGAUCGGAGGCUGCAACUCGCCUCCGUGAAGUUGGAAUCGCUAGUAAUCGCGGGUCAGCAACACCGCGGUGAAUGUGUUCCUGAGCCUUGUACACACCGCCCGUCAAGCCACGAAAGAGGGGAGCGCCCGAAGUCCGCUUCGGCGGCCGAAGGCGAGACCCUUGAUUGGGACUAAGUCGUAACAAAGUA
Molecule: ribosomal RNA, 1491 nt
Filed under: metagenome
Description: bacterial SSU rRNA
Rfam family: Bacterial small subunit ribosomal RNA
Source: RNAcentral